RNAcentral lists this ribosomal RNA (380 nucleotides) under uncultured bacterium. RNAcentral's name for it is "bacterial SSU rRNA". It matches the Rfam family "Bacterial small subunit ribosomal RNA", at positions 44 to 454 of the family's 1533-position model. The record is from RNAcentral.
AGGCUUAACACAUGCAAGUCGAGCGCGUAGCAAUACGAGCGGCAGACGGGUGAGUAACGCGUGGGAAUCUACCCAGCUCUACGGAAUAACGCAGGGAAACUUGUGCUAAUACCGUAUACGCCCUCCGGGAGAAAGAUUUAUCGGAGUUGGAUGAGCCCGCGUUGGAUUAGCUAGAUGGUGGGGUAAUGGCCUACCAUGGCGACGAUCCAUAGCUGGUCUGAGAGGAUGAUCAGCCACACUGGGACUGAGACACGGCCCAGACUCCUACGGGAGGCAGCAGUGGGGAAUAUUGGACAAUGGGCGAAAGCCUGAUCCAGCCAUGCCGCGUGAGUGAUGAAGGCCCUAGGGUUGUAAAGCUCUUUCACCGGUGAAGAUAAUGA